Molecule: long non-coding RNA, 615 nt
Organism: Asterias rubens (European starfish)
Lineage: Eukaryota; Metazoa; Echinodermata; Asteroidea; Forcipulatida; Asteriidae
Exons: 3
Source: RefSeq, a predicted model, not a curated record
UUUUGCAAUUUAGUGUAGAAGCCAUUUUGUAUCCAAAGAGACGAUAUAAACAACGUGCACAGUUUACGCACAAACGAAUGGGGAAUGGGAAACCUCCAUGUCAAACCAGCUUACGAACAUUAUUUUGCCAUUAUUUUUUAACUACUGCCAGUAGAGAAGAAAAACGUCCACAGUGCACCUGUUUGCUUGUUGACAUCCUUACUACAUGCACAUUGAAAUGGCUGGAUUUCAACAAGGGGGUCUACCACCAAUUCAGUUACGGAACGAUAGGCACAGUCCAAACAUGCGUCUUCAGGCUUCACGUCAAUCUGGCUUAUUGACUAACUUUGGUGCACUUCAGUAUAGUGAGAAUCCUCAUGCUGGAGCUGUGCAAUGGGAGAUGGAUAAUGCAGCUGAAGGUGGUAUCAAGUCAGUACAAGAAAAGCGUGCUCACACUACCAUGGUACAAGAAUAAAUGCAGGCUGUUGAAAUUGCUGUGAGUAGAAUCACUAAAGAGAUUGAGAUGAUAGAAGAACAACUCCACAAUAGACGACAACUUUCUGAACACACAGACAACUCUGUAAAAAGCUUGGAAAUUCAGCAUGUUGGAUCAAUAUCUGACUUACGGCAGAGGGU